Molecule: ribosomal RNA, 411 nt
Filed under: Cronobacter sp. CAR12
Lineage: Bacteria; Pseudomonadati; Pseudomonadota; Gammaproteobacteria; Enterobacterales; Enterobacteriaceae
Description: bacterial SSU rRNA
Rfam family: Bacterial small subunit ribosomal RNA
Source: RNAcentral
CGCACAAGCGGUGGAGCAUGUGGUUUAAUUCGAUGCAACGCGAAGAACCUUACCUGGUCUUGACAUCCAGAGAAUCCUGCAGAGAUGCGGGAGUGCCUUCGGGAACUCUGAGACAGGUGCUGCAUGGCUGUCGUCAGCUCGUGUUGUGAAAUGUUGGGUUAAGUCCCGCAACGAGCGCAACCCUUAUCCUUUGUUGCCAGCGGUUCGGCCGGGAACUCAAAGGAGACUGCCGGUGAUAAACCGGAGGAAGGUGGGGAUGACGUCAAGUCAUCAUGGCCCUUACGACCAGGGCUACACACGUGCUACAAUGGCGCAUACAAAGAGAAGCGACCUCGCGAGAGCAAGCGGACCUCAUAAAGUGCGUCGUAGUCCGGAUUGGAGUCUGCAACUCGACUCCAUGAAGUCGGAAUC